GAGUGGCUCAGUUGGUAGAGCAGCUGAUUCGUAAUCAGCAGGUCGUGGGUUCGAGUCCCAUCUCU
RNAcentral lists this transfer RNA (65 nucleotides) under human gut metagenome. It matches the Rfam family "tRNA", at positions 5 to 66 of the family's 71-position model. Rfam says of the family: Transfer RNA (tRNA) molecules are approximately 80 nucleotides in length. Their secondary structure includes four short double-helical elements and three loops (D, anti-codon, and T loops). The record is from RNAcentral.